UACGAAGGGGGCUAGCGUUGUUCGGAAUUACUGGGCGUAAAGGGCGCGUAGGCGGCGUGUCAAGUCAGGCGUGAAAGCCCCGGGCUCAACCUGGGAACCGCGCUUGAGACUGGCAUGCUCGAGUUCGGGAGAGGAUGGUGGAAUUCCCAGUGUAGAGGUGAAAUGCGCAGAUAUCAGGAGGAACACCGGUGGCGAAGGCGGUUCUCUGGGCCUGUACUGACGCUGAGGAACGAAAGCGUGGGGAGCGAACAGG
RNAcentral lists this ribosomal RNA (253 nucleotides) under uncultured bacterium. RNAcentral's name for it is "partial 16S ribosomal RNA". It matches the Rfam family "Bacterial small subunit ribosomal RNA", at positions 524 to 776 of the family's 1533-position model. The record is from RNAcentral.